Molecule: transfer RNA, 77 nt
Filed under: Desulfobulbaceae bacterium
Lineage: Bacteria; Pseudomonadati; Thermodesulfobacteriota; Desulfobulbia; Desulfobulbales; Desulfobulbaceae
Description: tRNA-Arg
Rfam family: tRNA
About the family: Transfer RNA (tRNA) molecules are approximately 80 nucleotides in length. Their secondary structure includes four short double-helical elements and three loops (D, anti-codon, and T loops).
Source: RNAcentral
GCGCCAGUAGCUCAGCUGGAUAGAGUGCCGGACUACGAAUCCGUCGGUCGGGGGUUCGAAUCCCUCCUGGCGCGCCA